Molecule: long non-coding RNA, 906 nt
Organism: Astyanax mexicanus (Mexican tetra)
Lineage: Eukaryota; Metazoa; Chordata; Actinopteri; Characiformes; Acestrorhamphidae
Exons: 5
Source: RefSeq, a predicted model, not a curated record
UCCGGAUCCAUUUUACCUCCGGCAUAUCCGCGCUACAGUCAGGUCUGUUUAGUGGAUCUGGUCCGGCUUCACUCCGGGUUCGGGUUAUGAUUGUGACUCACGUUCAGAUCCGUUUUACUGACGGUAAAUCCGCAUAACAGUCCGUCUCAUUUCACGCCUUCCAUAUGACUUCGGCACGGAGUCAGAUACCAGAUGUGAGUUCAGUGUCAGUUCAGUGUCGUUUUGCGGAUCCGGGCCGCAUCGGCGGAGCGGCACAGGAGCGGGAGAAAUUCAAACUCAGCGCGAGGACCAACUGACAUCUGCUGAAUCUGCGCUUCAGGUGUAAUCAUUUACCCAUCAAAUCACCUAACAAGGAUCAGCCUGGAUCCUAACAGUACUUGAUGCACUGAGCAGUGACAUUAUACAUAGAGUAGUUAAGCAGGAUUUGGUAUCCGCAAAAUGGUUCGAGGUCCUCAGCCCUCGCCUCCCCCAGCACAGAGGAAAACUACCAAGGGCGGUACUCUCAUUAUAGGAGAUUCAAUUGUUAGACAUUUAAAAGUAUCUAAGAGUAAUGGCACAAUUUCAUGUCUUCCAGAUGCUUGCAUGCUGGUAGUCGGCAAGCGGCUCCCUGGGGCGCAUUGCCAAAGCAGGAACCCCGGCACCAUCGCCCUCCAUGUGGGGAUGAGCUUUCGGGAGCGACCGGCCCCAUUCCACAGAGACAGGCUUCUCUCUGUGAAGAACAUCGAGGCGGUGCUACGCUGAGACUGACUGUCUCUACCCAGUCACACCAGCCAAGCUGCACUGUAGUGGUGUUAAGUGUCCAAGAAUGCUCUCAUCAGUGGAGGCACAGCUGGCUGCAAAAAACGUCUGUGUCUGCAUGUUUAUAUUAUGUGAAUUAAAAAUGGUUUUAUUAUUAAAAUAAUUGUA